GAUGAACGCUAGCGGCAGGCCUAAUACAUGCCAGUCGAACGGGAUCCAGAUCAAAGCUUGCUUUGGUCUGGUGAGAGUGGCGCACGGGUGCGUAACGCGUGAGCAACCUACCCUUGUCAGGGGGAUAGCCCGGCGAAAGUCGGAUUAAUACCGCAUGACAUCAUUGAGAGGCAUCUUUCGAUGAUCAAAGAUUUAUCGGACAAGGAUGGGCUCGCGUGACAUUAGCUAGUUGGUAAGGUAACGGCUUACCAAGGCUGCGAUGUCUAGGGGCUCUGAGAGGAGAAUCCCCCACACUGGUACUGAGACACGGACCAGACUCCUACGGGAGGCAGCAGUAAGGAAUAUUGGUCAAUGGACGGAAGUCUGAACCAGCCAUGCCGCGUGCAGGAAGACGGCCCUAUGGGUUGUAAACUGCUUUUAUACGGGAACAAACGUCGGUACGUGUACCGGUCUGAGUGUACCGUAAGAAUAAGGAUCGGCUAACUCCGUG
This 490-nucleotide ribosomal RNA is filed under the name uncultured bacterium. RNAcentral's name for it is "partial 16S ribosomal RNA". It matches the Rfam family "Bacterial small subunit ribosomal RNA", at positions 28 to 507 of the family's 1533-position model. The record is from RNAcentral.